RNA transcript from Salvia splendens (bonfire salvia), 2126 nucleotides. It is a transcript of the gene named DCC family protein At1g52590, chloroplastic, with no coding region annotated. The record is from RefSeq and is a predicted model, not a curated record. The transcript has 7 exons. NCBI's taxonomy places the organism in Eukaryota, Viridiplantae, Streptophyta, Magnoliopsida, Lamiales, Lamiaceae.
AAUUUCAGUUUGUUUGGCUGCCAACGAUUCCGUUACUCCAAAUGGCGGCGCUCAUCGUUCCCGUAACCCCGCCACUCCGCCGCCAGUUUCACGUUUCCGCCGCUCUAUCAUCGCCGCCUCGUAGAAACUCGCCGGCGGUGGACUGGGUGAAGGAGACUGCCAGCUUCUCCGAGCAGGAUUCCCGACCAAUCAUGCUCUUCGACGGUGUCUGCAAUCUGUGUAAUGGAGGUGUGAAGAUUGUUCGAGAUAAUGACAGGAGAAGAAAUAUUAGAUUUGAGGCUCUGCAAAGUGAAUCAGGCAAAAAGUUAUUGCAGAGAUCAGGAAGAGCUCCUGAUGAUAUUUCAAGUGUUGUUCUUGUUGAAAAAGAUAGUUAUUUCAGGUCUUAUAUAAAAUCGGAAGCUGUAUUAAAGAUAAUGGAAUACAUUGAUUUGCCCUUUCCUCAGCUGGCCUUGUUUCUCCAAUUUGUACCAUUAUUCGUGCGGGAUUUCGUGUAUGACAACAUUGCAGAUAAUAGAUACAAUAUUUUCGGUCGCUCAGAUUCUUGUGACAUAUAGAAAUUCUAUUUCUGCGCUCUUUUCUUGAAGAGAAGCAAGUGGAGUAUAUAAUAUUUUGUCAUGCAACCCAAUGCCGGCAUCAAUGCACGAGCUUUUCCAUGAGCAUUGGAGCAGAAGGACCUUGUUGGUUGAUUUGUACCUGCCGAUUUUAUGUCCACAUCGUCCACAUUGAUGUUAGUGCAAUGUACCGUCUUGCUGCAGUUGAAGAUAAACAAUGGAUGAUCAGUGCACGACGUAUGCCCACAUCUCUCGUGAUUUCAGUCUAGACAUUCGUUACUUACUUUUUCAGCGCAUAUCUUGUGAGGGCAGUAAUUCUGGUUGAUGAUAACGGGGUUUUUAGCCUCUAUAAAGAUUAUCUGGGAGAAAUUGAUGUUCCUGGCAAAUCCAGAACCUCCCUACAGAAGAAAUCAAACCACAGGUUCGUUUUUCGUACUUUAAGAAACUCGUUAAUUAGUUGUCUCGGUUUUUGAGCUGUUACCUGCCAUGUUUUGAUCCUCACUCCAUUUGUAGUUCUGUUAAAAGUGCAAUUGCGUAUGUUUAUUGCUUCUACUUCUUCGCGCUUCCCAUUCUUCCCUAAACUCCCGAUACUGCCAAACACACGAAAAGGAUCCAUAUUGUCUCAUUUUGUUUAAAUUUUGUGAAAGAACAUUAUAUUGCGACCGAGUGAGAGAGAGGAGACCUUAUUCCAUGUCCAGGGCCACAGAAUAUGUUGGAUAUGUUGACUUGUGAAGUACCACCAUUAAUGGCAAUGCAGUCAUCCCCUAACCAACACGAACAACGCGCGAUCCCAGCCAGUUAGAACACAUAUAUACGGCUGCUUGACAGAUAGAAUAAGGCAAUGAGUACCAGUUUCCAUGGAAGAGUUAACAAUGCGAAGACCGCUUGAAUUACUGAUGUCAAUUCCAUCUGUGUUGGGGCUCUCCGAAGGGGCGAUCAUGACUAGGUCUGAAACAGUCGCGUUUUUGCAUCCGUUUAUAGAAACAUGGUUCAUCUGGCUGUUUACAUGUUUCAAUCCCCUGACUUCAAGUCUGUUGCAGAGAGAAAACCGCAUUGCCUUGGAAAAGAACACCGAAGAAAUAAGGUUUGCAAACAUGUUGAAAUAAGUAUCAUACUACUGUCUAUAUAUAUGGGAUGAAAUACUUACAGUCGGUCGUGAUAUCGAAUCGCCCUGCAACGCAUAAUAACAGUAGAAAGUUGGUUAUCUGAUGAUGACUAAUGGUGGAAGCUAAUUAAGUAAGAGUGGUUUUAGAGGUCUCACAUUCUUCCACCACGUCUCUCCACGGCCAUCGAUCACUCCUUGGCGCUCCCCUACCACAGUGAGCCCGUCGACUCUGUGAAAAUAGAGCCAUUCGUUCGAGCCAUUCUUCUGCCAUGCUGAUCUUGGUGGAGCCACAAUCUUUCCUAGUAUCUGUGGUGAACAAAAAAUGAAAUAUUUUUUUCCAAUUGUGUGAAUUUAAUUAAAUAGAUUUAUGUAGUUAUUGCAAAGGGAUGUGUUACCUCAAAUGUGAUUGAGGUGGAAGAGCAUGGCCCUUGAAAUUGGAUUUCAGAAACCAAAUAUGUCUUCCCACUGCC